Molecule: small nucleolar RNA, 79 nt
Organism: Brienomyrus brachyistius
Lineage: Eukaryota; Metazoa; Chordata; Actinopteri; Osteoglossiformes; Mormyridae
Product: small nucleolar RNA SNORD59
Exons: 1
Source: RefSeq, a predicted model, not a curated record
CCUCCUAUGAUGAUCAAAAUAGUUUGACUUUCGUUCUUCUGAAGUUUUCUGAAUGAAGCCAAUCUUUUUCCUGAGGAGG